AGUGGGGAAUAUUGGACAAUGGGCGAAAGCCUGAUCCAGCAAUACCGCGUGUGUGAAGAAGGUCUGAGGGUUGUAAAGCACUUUCAAUAGGAAGGAAUACCUGUCGGUUAAUACCCGGUAGACUGACAUUACCUAUACAAGAAGCACCGGCUAACUCCGUGCCAGCAGCCGCGGUAAUACGGAGGGUGCAAGCGUUAAUCGGAAUUACUGGGCGUAAAGCGUGCGUAGGCGGUUGUUUAAGUCAGAUGUGAAAGCCCUGGGCUUAACCUGGGAACUGCAUUUGAUACUGGGCAACUAGAGUUUAGUAGAGGGGAGUGGAAUUUCAGGUGUAGCGGUGAAAUGCGUAGAGAUCUGAAGGAACACCAGUGGCGAAGGCGGCUCCCUGGACUAAAACUGACGCUGAGGUACGAAAGCGUGGGUAGCAAACAGGAUUAGAUACCCUGGUAGUCCACGCCGUAAACGAUGUCAACUAACUGUUGGGUUCUUAAAGAACUUAGUAGUGGAGCUAACGUAUUAAGUUGACCGCCUGGGGAGUACGGCCGCAAGGCUAAAACUCAAAUGAAUUGACGGGGGCCCGCACAAGCGGUGGAGCAUGUGGUUUAAUUCGAUGCAACGCGAAGAACCUUACCUACCCUUGACAUCCAGAGAAUCUGUUAGAGAUAGCGGAGUGCCUUCGGGAACUCUGAGACAGGUGCUGCAUGGCUGUCGUCAGCUCGUGUUGUGAAAUGUUGGGUUAAGUCCCGUAACGAGCGCAACCCUUAUCCUUAGUUGCCAGCGGGUCAUGCCGGGAACUCUAGGGAGACUGCCGGUGAUAAACCGGAGGAAGGUGGGGACGACGUCAAGUCAUCAUGGCCCUUAUGGGUAGGGCUACACACGUGCUACAAUGGCCGGUACAGAGGGCUGCGAACUCGCGAGAGUAAGCGAAUCCCAAAAAGCCGGUCCCAGUCCGGAUCGCAGUCUGCAACUCGACUGCGUGAAGUCGGAAUCGCUAGUAAUCGCGGAUCAGAAUGCCGCGGUGAAUACGUUCCCGGGCCUUGUACACACCGCCCGUCACACCAUGGGAGUGGGUUGCAAAAGAAGUAGGUAGUUUAACCUUCGGGAGGGCGCUUACCACUUUGUGAUUCAUGACUGGGGUG
Molecule: ribosomal RNA, 1136 nt
Filed under: uncultured bacterium
Lineage: Bacteria
Description: bacterial SSU rRNA
Rfam family: Bacterial small subunit ribosomal RNA
Source: RNAcentral